AUUGAACGCUGGCGGCAGGCUUAACACAUGCAAGUCGAGCGGGGGAAGGUAGCUUGCUACCGGACCUAGCGGCGGACGGGUGAGUAAUGCUUAGGAAUCUGCCUAUUAGUGGGGGACAACAUCUCGAAAGGGAUGCUAAUACCGCAUACGUCCUACGGGAGAAAGCAGGGGAUCUUCGGACCUUGCGCUAAUAGAUGAGCCUAAGUCGGAUUAGCUAGUUGGUGGGGUAAAGGCCUACCAAGGCGACGAUCUGUAGCGGGUCUGAGAGGAUGAUCCGCCACACUGGGACUGAGACACGGCCCAGAAUCCUACGGGAGGCAGCAGUGGGGAAUAUUGGACGAUGGGGGGAACCCUGAUCCAGCCAUGCCGCGUGUGUGAAGAAGGCCUUAUGGUUGUAAAGCACUUUAAGCGAGGAGGAGGCUACUUUAGUUAAUACCUAGAGAUAGUGGACGUUACUCGCAGAAUAAGCACCGGCUAACUCUGUGCCAGCCGCCGCAGUAA
RNAcentral lists this ribosomal RNA (501 nucleotides) under uncultured bacterium. RNAcentral describes it as "partial 16S ribosomal RNA". It matches the Rfam family "Bacterial small subunit ribosomal RNA", at positions 30 to 523 of the family's 1533-position model. The record is from RNAcentral.